GACGAACGCUGGCGGCGUGCCUAACACAUGCAAGUCGAACGGAGUAUUCAGCAAUGGAUACUUAGUGGCGAACGGGUGAGUAACGCGUAGACAACCUGCCUUCUAGAUGGGGACAACACCGCGAAAGUGGUGCUAAUACCGAAUGUUGUAACGAAUCCGCAUGGAUUUGUUACUAAAGGUGGCCUCUGUUUAUAAGCUAUCACUAGAAGAUGGGUCUGGGUCUGAUUAGCUAGUUGGAGAGGUAAUGGCUCACCAAGGCGACGAUCAGUAGCCGGUCUGAGAGGAUGAACGGCCACACUGGGACUGAGACACGGCCCAGACUCCUACGGGAGGCAGCAGUGGGGAAUCUUCCGCAAUGGACGAAAGUCUGACGGAGCAACGCCGCGUGAGUGAAGAAGGUUUUCGGAUCGUAAAGCUCUGUCUUCAGGGACGAAUGUGCAGCUUGUGAAUAAUGAGUUGUAAUGACGGUACCUGAGGAGGAAGCCACGGCUAACUACGUGCCAGCAGCCGCCGUAA
Molecule: ribosomal RNA, 516 nt
Filed under: uncultured bacterium
Lineage: Bacteria
Description: partial 16S ribosomal RNA
Rfam family: Bacterial small subunit ribosomal RNA
Source: RNAcentral